Molecule: ribosomal RNA, 449 nt
Filed under: uncultured bacterium
Lineage: Bacteria
Description: partial 16S ribosomal RNA
Rfam family: Bacterial small subunit ribosomal RNA
Source: RNAcentral
AACGAACGCUGGCGGCAUGCCUAACACAUGCAAGUCGAACGAGAUCUUCGGGUCUAGUGGCGCACGGGUGCGUAACGCGUGGGAAUCUGCCCUUUGGUUCGGAAUAACAGUUGGAAACGACUCCUAAUACCGGAUGAUGACGAAAGUCCAUAGAUUUAUCGCCAGAGGAUGAGCCCGCUUAGGAUUAGCUAGUUGGUGAGGUAAAGGCGCACCAAGGCGACCAUCCUUAGCUGGUCCGAGAGGAUGAUCAGCCACACUGGGACUGAGACACGGCACAGACUCCUACGGGAGGCAGCAGUGGGGAAUAUUGGACAAUGGGCUAAAGCCUGAUCCCGCAAUGCCGCGUGAGAGAUGAAGGCCUUAGGGUUGUAAAGCUCUUUUCCCCGGGAUGAUAAUGACAGUCCCGGGAGAAUAAGCUCCGGCUAACUCCGUGCCAGCCGCCGCCGUAA